RNAcentral lists this ribosomal RNA (429 nucleotides) under Acidobacteriota bacterium. Its description in RNAcentral is "Acidobacteria bacterium partial 16S ribosomal RNA". It matches the Rfam family "Bacterial small subunit ribosomal RNA", at positions 355 to 776 of the family's 1533-position model. The record is from RNAcentral. Lineage: Bacteria; Pseudomonadati; Acidobacteriota.
UGGGGAAUUUUGGACAAUGGGGGAAACCCUGAUCCAGCCAUCCCGCGUGUGCGAUGAAGGCCUUCGGGUUGUAAAGCACUUUUGGCAGGAAAGAAACGUCAUGGGUUAAUACCCCGUGAAACUGACGGUACCUGCAGAAUAAGCACCGGCUAACUACGUGCCAGCAGCCGCGGUAAUACGUAGGGUGCAAGCGUUAAUCGGAAUUACUGGGCGUAAAGCGUGCGCAGGCGGUUCGGAAAGAAAGAUGUGAAAGCCCAGAGCUCAACUUUGGAACUGCAUUUUUAACUACCGGGCUAGAGUGUGUCAGAGGGAGGUGGAAUUCCGCGUGUAGCAGUGAAAUGCGUAGAUAUGCGUAGGAACACCGAUAGCGAAGGCAGCCUCCUGGGAUAACACUGACGGUCAUGCAGGAAGGCGUGGGGAGCAAACAGG